CAGAGGUGGCAAGCGUUGUUCGGAAUUACUGGGCGUAAAGGGCGCGUAGGUGGUCUUGUCAGUCAGACGUGAAAUCCCCAGGCUUAACCUGGGAACUGCGUCUGAUACUACGAGACCUGAGUUCGGGAGAGGGAUGUGGAAUUCCAGGUGUAGCGGUGAAAUGCGUAGAUAUCUGGAGGAACACCGGUGGCGAAGGCGGCAUCCUGGACCGAAACUGACACUGAUGCGCGAAAGCCAGGGGAGCAAACGGGAUUAGAUACCCCGGUAGUCCUGGCCCUAAACGAUGAGUGCUUGGUGUGGCGGGUAUCGAUCCCUGCCGUGCCGAAGCUAACGCAUUAAGCACUCCGCCUGGGGAGUACGGUCGCAAGGCUG
Molecule: ribosomal RNA, 372 nt
Filed under: uncultured organism
Description: bacterial SSU rRNA
Rfam family: Bacterial small subunit ribosomal RNA
Source: RNAcentral